AGUAACGCGUGGAUAACCUGCCUCACACUGGGGAUAACAGUUAGAAAUGACUGCUAAUACCGCAUAAGCGCACAGUACCGCAUGGUACAGUGUGAAAAACUCCGGUGGUGUGAGAUGGAUCCGCGUCUGAUUAGCCAGUUGGCGGGGUAACGGCCCACCAAAGCGACGAUCAGUAGCCGACCUGAGAGGGUGACCGGCCACAUUGGGACUGAGACACGGCCCAA
RNAcentral lists this ribosomal RNA (224 nucleotides) under uncultured bacterium. RNAcentral describes it as "partial 16S ribosomal RNA". It matches the Rfam family "Bacterial small subunit ribosomal RNA", at positions 109 to 334 of the family's 1533-position model. The record is from RNAcentral.